UACGAAGGGGGCUAGCGUUGCUCGGAAUUACUGGGCGUAAAGGGCGCGUAGGCGGAUACUUAAGUCGGGGGUGAAAGCCCGGGGCUCAACCUCGGAAUUGCCUUCGAUACUGGGUAUCUUGAGUUCGGGAGAGGUGAGUGGAAUGCCGAGUGUAGAGGUGAAAUUCGUAGAUAUUCGCAAGAACACCAGUGGCGAAGGCGGCUCACUGGCUCGAUACUGACGCUGAGGCACGAAAGCGUGGGGAGCAAACAGG
RNAcentral lists this ribosomal RNA (253 nucleotides) under uncultured bacterium. Its description in RNAcentral is "partial 16S ribosomal RNA". It matches the Rfam family "Bacterial small subunit ribosomal RNA", at positions 524 to 776 of the family's 1533-position model. The record is from RNAcentral.